CUCCUCCUGUGAACUAUUUGCCGAACUACCUUAUAUAAGGGUGGUAUAAAGACCUCUGUAAAUAUAUACAAUAGAUUAAUAGAUUGGUCAUAGAAUUCUCUUGAAUUACAUUUUGUUUGGCACACAGUGGAAGCUCCAAAAAUAUUUGCUGAAUAACUCAGUCUGGUCAUCCAAGUGUUACCAAAACUUUGUACCAAGAAGCUUGUAGGAUUUGGUUUUCAUUUCAAUUGUGAAAUGAAAUUGCAUACAUUUUGUAUAUAUGCUUACUUUUCUUUUUUAAAAUUUAUCUUAUUACAGUGUUCUACAUGUCCAAAGAAACUUCUCUAUUAACAAACUAAAGACAUGAUAUCUGAAGGUAAUCUUUAUGCAUAAUUUUCUUCUAAGAAACUCAAAAUGUGCUUUAUAUGAAGAAUCACUAAUAACCAUUUACUUACUACUCCCUGCUACUGAGUUUUGAACAGAGAGCUAAUGUAUGCCUAAGGGAAAAUCGAUUAAAGAGACAUUCUUACAUAGCUCCAAAAACGAAUUAACAACAACAGUCAGGGUGAAAGGGGGAGGAGGGUGCUCCCUUUAACUUGAAAUGCUUAAACAAAUAUGGGAUUUUAGUGAAAAUGGGAGUCUUGAAAUGUAUCCUUAAUGUCCAGAUACUCACAAGAUAACUUUCAAUUAUCCAGAAUUAUUUUUUACUCUAUAGAGCAAUUCUUCCAAAAUAGUGCAUCAAUUUAUUCUCAGAAGUUAUCUCAUUCGAGUAAAGUGACUCUCACCCAAGAGAGACACUGGUAGCAAAGGGCAGUAGUUACUUAAAUAGCAGUGAAACUGAUACUAGAGAACUGCCAACUGAUGAAAAUUUAAUCAGCAGUAUAUGGGAUUGGAAUGGGCUUAUACAGGGAAUAAUUCUGAAUAUAAGGUGUUCAGUAGUUUCUAUUUCUUUAAAAUUUUCUGUACAAAGUGGAAAAAAUUUACACACCCAUGUUUGAAAAAUGGGUAAUUUUUCUUUCAUUCAUCAAUUUUUAAAGGUAAAUAUGCUAGUAAAUUAAGGAGACAAAUAGUUCUCUAUCGCACGUUGUAAAAAAUCUAGGGCCCUGGUCCUUUACCAUUGCCUUUUUUCCAUUCCGCACAAGAGAUGUGUCUUCCCAGGUGACACAGGAGCCAUCCUUGAUGUUUUUUGUUUCAUCAAGUCUAUUUGGGUGUUCCUAUUCCAUGCUUCUUCCCCUCUAGAUUCCCCCAUCUACCUCAUACUCUAGGUUUAUCCUGAGUGUGGAGUAAGGAAGUAUGAAUACCACAUUUACAUUUUCCUUUUGUUCACCUUCUCUCUCUUAGACUCUUCCGCUCAGUACCAAAAGGACUUUCUUUCUUGCACUGCAGGAACUUCCCUUACAUCAAAUUCUUAUACUGUUUACUUUCUUUAUUGUAAAAAUAUUACAGUCUUCUGAAUCUGACUUCUGUAAGCCUCUUUUCUCCUUAACAACAAAGUCUCCUCCAAAAAUCAUAAGUGCUUACUUUCAGGCUAUUGUCUCAACGUGGACUUGAAACACACUAUUUUGAAACUCAAAGCUGCCUUUAGCAGGGUUCUGUCCAUUCAAAGAGGCAACUAUUUCCACUGGUUCAAUCAGUGGGGUUAAUGAUAGGCCCAGAACUAGGAAUUUUCGAGAAAGAAAAUCCAUUUACUUAAUAUUCCCAAAAUGUAUUUGUUAUGCUGAGAACACACACUAAGAAUACAUGGCAUUUCAUCACAUAGAUGAAAAACUAACAUCAUCAUAAGCAAGUUUGGAAGCAGUGAAACACACCCCUCGGAAGGCAUUAUGAAUGCUCCCUAAUAUCUGAUUCUCCCUUCCCAGUCCCGUUGCAGUUUGGCGGAGCCAUAUGAAAGGUUCUAGCUAGUGAAAUACAAGGGGAAGUGGGAGGGCUGAGGUAGUGACAAGCCACUGCAUGAUGCUAUAGAUUCCCUCUUCUGCAGCGAAAGUGGAAUCUCAUGUUGGGACAGCAGAG
Macaca fascicularis (crab-eating macaque) is the source of this 1989-nucleotide long non-coding RNA. The record is from Ensembl. NCBI's taxonomy places the organism in Eukaryota, Metazoa, Chordata, Mammalia, Primates, Cercopithecidae.